GACGAACGCUGGCGGCGUGCCUAAUACAUGCAAGUCGAACGCUUCUUUCCUCCCGAGUGCUUGCACUCAAUUGGAAAGAGGAGUGGCGGACGGGUGAGUAACACGUGGGUAACCUACCCAUCAGAGGGGGAUAACACUUGGAAACAGGUGCUAAUACCGCAUAACAGUUUAUGCCGCAUGGCAUAAGAGUGAAAGGCGCUUUCGGGUGUCGCUGAUGGAUGGACCCGCGGUGCAUUAGCUAGUUGGUGAGGUAACGGCUCACCAAGGCCACGAUGCAUAGCCGACCUGAGAGGGUGAUCGGCCACACUGGGCCUGAGACACGGCCCAGACUCCUACGGGAGGCAGCAGUAGGGAAUCUUCGGCAAUGGACGAAAGUCUGACCGAGCAACGCCGCGUGAGUGAAGAAGGUUUUCGGAUCGUAAAACUCUGUUGUUAGAGAAGAACAAGGACGUUAGUAACUGAACGUCCCCUGACGGUAUCUAACCAGAAAGACACGGCUAACUACGU
This 507-nucleotide ribosomal RNA is filed under the name uncultured bacterium. RNAcentral describes it as "partial 16S ribosomal RNA". It matches the Rfam family "Bacterial small subunit ribosomal RNA", at positions 28 to 506 of the family's 1533-position model. The record is from RNAcentral.